This 977-nucleotide long non-coding RNA is filed under the name Olea europaea subsp. europaea. The record is from RNAcentral. Lineage: Eukaryota; Viridiplantae; Streptophyta; Magnoliopsida; Lamiales; Oleaceae.
GAAAUUUUCAGAGGCCAGUCUAUAUCAAAGUUGGUAUAUAUAUAUAACGGACCCUCUUGCUUUCUUUCAUCCAUAUUAGUUAAGUAGCAGUAUACCAAGUAUCAAAAAGGAAUCUCUAAAUCAUUAGAAGUUAGUAUUUUAAUAUAAAUUAUUGAAUUAAACAUAAUGUUAUUGCCUCAGCCAUGACCUCGAACUUCCCAGACCAGAGGGAAUUGUAUUAAGUCCAGGAAUACAAAAAAGGUACUCGGAGGCCUCCUGAGUUUGUUUAGAACUUUCUUAUCUGCCUUCCACUUCUGGGUCUACCUUGUAUCUACUUUGGUGAAUGUCUUUCUCUUCCCAGCUUCCAUGAAAUUGAAAAGAUAAUCACAAUACAUUACUUUGACAUCUCAAAGGAAGUGAAGCAAAGAGUGAGAAAGUUGAGUUUGUACAACUAUUUUCUUCUUCUUAGUUAUUAGAAAGAAAAAUACAGAUGUUGUCAAUGUUCGUUAGAUGUCAUCUAACUACUAAUUUCUCAGUGUAUAAUUUUUUGAAACAUGACUACAUUACAUGGUUCUUAUGAAAAAUCAAAAUGAAAUGUCACUCACUUCAUUUUCUAUCGACUACAGAUUGGAAAGUCACUCUUCCAUAUAUUGAAUGUUUCAUUGACAUGUACGCGUAUCCUUAAUGAUCUAAGUUGCCAGCAUUCUGAUCUUGGUUGCUUACAAUAGGAGCUUCAUAUUCCAAUACAUUUUUGUGAAUUAAGCUAUGGAAGAACAUACAUUACAGGGAUACAAAAGGCUGGAUCCAUCCCGUGACUAAGGAGAAAUAUGUAAUGAAACUAGUCUUAUCAAAAUUUUGGAACUUGGCUAGGCUUUUUAUUUUGGAUUCCAUUAUGGUUUAGACUGUGUUUUUAUAGUUGGUAUUGGAAUUGACUUGUAAAGAUGCUAUAUAUUAUUUUGCCUUGUAAAUAUUUUGCUAGAGGCUUUUGGUUGUGACUA